AGUGAACGCUGGCGGAAGGCCUAACACAUGCAAGUCGAACGGCAGCACAGUAAGAGCUUGCUCUUACGGGUGGCGAGUGGCGGACGGGUGAGGAAUACAUCGGAAUCUACUUUUUCGUGGGGGAUAACGUAGGGAAACUUACGCUAAUACCGCAUACGACCUACGGGUGAAAGCAGGGGAUCUUCGGACCUUGCGCGAUUGAAUGAGCCGAUGUCGGAUUAGCUAGUUGGCGGGGUAAAGGCCCACCAAGGCGACGAUCCGUAGCUGGUCUGAGAGGAUGAUCAGCCACACUGGAACUGAGACACGGUCCAGACUCCUACGGGAGGCAGCAGUGGGGAAUAUUGGACAAUGGGCGCAAGCCUGAUCCAGCCAUACCGCGUGGGUGAAGAAGGCUUUCGGGUUGUAAAGCCCUUUUGUUGGGAAAGAAAAGCAGCAGGUUAAUACCCCGCUGUUCUGACGGUACCCAAAGAAUAAGCACCGGCUAACUUCGUG
RNAcentral lists this ribosomal RNA (492 nucleotides) under uncultured bacterium. RNAcentral's name for it is "partial 16S ribosomal RNA". It matches the Rfam family "Bacterial small subunit ribosomal RNA", at positions 29 to 507 of the family's 1533-position model. The record is from RNAcentral.